This 253-nucleotide ribosomal RNA is filed under the name uncultured bacterium. RNAcentral's name for it is "partial 16S ribosomal RNA". It matches the Rfam family "Bacterial small subunit ribosomal RNA", at positions 524 to 776 of the family's 1533-position model. The record is from RNAcentral.
UACGUAGGGGGCAAGCGUUGUCCGGAAUUACUGGGCGUAAAGGGCGCGUAGGCGGCCUUCUAAGUCAGACGUGAAAUCCCCCGGCUUAACCUGGGAACUGCGUCUGAUACUGGAGGGCUUGAGUGCGGGAGAGGGAUGUGGAAUUCCAGGUGUAGCGGUGAAAUGCGUAGAUAUCUGGAGGAACACCGGUGGCGAAGGCGGCAUCCUGGACCGACACUGACGCUGAGGCGCGAAAGCUAGGGUAGCAAACGGG